AUUGAACGCUGGCGGCAGGCCUAACACAUGCAAGUCGAGCGCGUGGCGGACGGGUGAGUAAUGUCUGGGAAACUGCCCGAUGGCGGGGGAUAACUACUGGAAACGGUAGCUAAUACCGCAUACCAUCAGAUGUGCCCAGAUGGGAUUAGCGAGUAGGUGGGGUAAUGGCUCACCUAGGCGACGAUCCCUAGCUGGUCUGAGAGGAUGACCAGCCACACUGGAACUGAUACACGGUCCAGACUCCUACGGGAGGCAGCAGUGGGGAAGAUUGCACAAUGGGCGCAAGCCUGAUGCAGCCAUGCCGCGUGUAUGAAGAAGGCCUUCGGGUUGGAAAGUACUUUCAGCGAGGAGGCGUUACUCGCAGAAGAAGCACCGGCUAACUCCGUGCCAGCAGCCGCGGUAAUAC
Molecule: ribosomal RNA, 406 nt
Filed under: uncultured bacterium
Lineage: Bacteria
Description: partial 16S ribosomal RNA
Rfam family: Bacterial small subunit ribosomal RNA
Source: RNAcentral